UACAGAGGUGGCAAGCGUUGUUCGGAAUUACUGGGCGUAAAGGGCGCGUAGGCGGCCUUCUAAGUCAGACGUGAAAUCCCUCGGCUCAACUGAGGAACUGCACGGGAAACUGCCUGGCUUGAGUUCGGGAGAGGGAAGCGGAAUUCCGGGUGUAGCGGUGAAAUGCGUAGAUAUCCGGAGGAACACCGGUGGCGAAGGCGGCUUCCUGGACCGACACUGACGCUGAGGCGCGAAAGCGUGGGGAGCAAACAGG
This 253-nucleotide ribosomal RNA is filed under the name uncultured bacterium. RNAcentral's name for it is "partial 16S ribosomal RNA". It matches the Rfam family "Bacterial small subunit ribosomal RNA", at positions 524 to 776 of the family's 1533-position model. The record is from RNAcentral.